GGCGGUCAUCGCGGGCUAACCGGCGAUCAUGUCGAUACACUCCCGGAACCGCCGGUCACGGCAUAUUGUCGUUGUCGUUGUUAUUUUUAUUUCCGGUGCCGUUCACGUUCCCGGUCGAGUAGUCGGCGCGAAACACUCGUCGUCGUCCGACGAACAAUCACCGGACCGCACGCGAAUUUGAUAGGCCCAAUACGAUACGGGACGUACGGACCCGGUUGACG
Cinara cedri is the source of this 221-nucleotide non-coding RNA. Lineage: Eukaryota; Metazoa; Arthropoda; Insecta; Hemiptera; Aphididae. The record is from the annotation of a GenBank genome assembly.